AAUCAGUGUUAAAUUAUUUUUUAUUUUUUUUUGUGUCAGUUAAUUGCUACGUAUCUUGGGCUGUCAUGGGUUUUCAUUAUAUUGUUGUGCCCCGGGUUGCAAAAGAUCAGGCAGGGAUAAAAGUGUGCGUUUCUUUUCUAUACCUUGCAUUCGUAAAAAUCAAGGGAAACUGGAAUUGGAUGUUGUGAAACGCAGAAGAGAAGUCUUUUUGAAAAGACUUCAUCUUGUUGGCCAAAAAAUUACAAAUAACAUUAGAGUUUGUAAUGCACAUUUUGUUCUAGGAAAACCUUUUUACUACACUGGAGAAACACACCCAGACUGGGCCCCAUCCCUGAAUUUUG
RNAcentral lists this long non-coding RNA (341 nucleotides) under Daphnia magna. RNAcentral's name for it is "uncharacterized LOC123474728". Lineage: Eukaryota; Metazoa; Arthropoda; Branchiopoda; Diplostraca; Daphniidae. The record is from RNAcentral.